GGCAAUCUUUGGCAUUACUUGGCUUGUAGAAGCAUCACCCCUGAUCUAUGGUGUCACAUGGUGCUCCCCCUAUGUGCAGGUAUCUUUGUCCAAAUAUCUUCUUUUUAUAAGGACACCAAUCAUACUGGAUUAAGGCCCAUCAUAAUAACUUUGUCUUAACUAACUACAUCUGCAAUGUCCCUAUAGCCAAACCAGGUUACAUCCUGAGGUGUUGUUGGUUGGGAUCUCAACAUAUGAACUUUAGGGGACUGCAAUUAAAUCCAUAACAGUCUACUUCAUUAUUUUACCCAAUUUAUAUCCAAUAAUUCACCAAAUCCACCAAAUACUUUGAAUUCACUUACUUCUCUUCAUCUCCAAUGGCCCCACCUUAAUCCAGAGCACUUUUGUCUAAAUUAUAACAGCACCCUAACUCAUCUCUCUUCCUCUUUUAACUCUAGGCCAUUAUAAAAUUAAAGUAGUACUAUUACAUUAUCCUAUUUUUUAAAAAAAUUACUUCAAAUUGUCUUCAUGAUAGAUUUCAAAGUGUUUACUGUAAUUUUGAUGACUCUCCCACUUCCAAACUCUUUAGAUAAAUUCCAGCACCCAAAAUCUAUGUUCCAAAUAUGUGGAACUUAUUUGUAUUGAUCACAUAUACUAUGUUACAUUGUCUCUCUGUCAUGAAGUGUGUUAUUUCUUUUCCUAUAAAUGUUUAUUUUUCUGUCACUUUUUACCUAUGUAAUGAUGACUUAUUUUUCAGCUCUAAAUUUAGAUAUCACUUUCAGAAAGUUUUCUCAAGCUCCUUAUGUUUUGAUUAGAUGCAACUUUUAGGAGUUUCCCUAGAACCAUGAAUUUUCUCUGCCUUAGCAUGCAUCAGAUUUUAUAGAAAUUUAACAAUCUUUUUCUCUCUUUUAAAAAUCAGACUGUAAGUGCAAUGAGAGUAAGGGUCUUAUAUUAUUUUUCCUCAUUAUGUGAAGUUUAUCAAGUAUUUUCUCUGUGACUACACACAAAACAAUCUUAUUUUUCCUUAGCUGACCUUCAAACAUAUUCUCUUGGGAGUUCCUUUCCUCACCUUUGUGGCUGUUUUGGGGGCAGAUGGUGAUGAUCCGCUCCAGUCAUGAUCAGCAAAGACACGAAAGCAAUCUAAAUGC
RNAcentral lists this long non-coding RNA (1127 nucleotides) under Homo sapiens (human). RNAcentral describes it as "HSALNT0072916". The record is from RNAcentral. Lineage: Eukaryota; Metazoa; Chordata; Mammalia; Primates; Hominidae.